Molecule: long non-coding RNA, 834 nt
Organism: Oreochromis aureus
Lineage: Eukaryota; Metazoa; Chordata; Actinopteri; Cichliformes; Cichlidae
Source: Ensembl
GGACAGUUCACCCUGAGAUGGACACCAUCUGAGAGAGAAGACGGACAAAGCCUCCCCAUCUGUUUUGUUGUCCAGGCAGUUUUCAAUGGAACCAAGUAUCACUCCGAGCUUCGAUGUGUCAUUGUGACUGUUGCAAACGAUGUUACAGUUCUUAAAUUGAAGAUGACCUCUUUGGUGGACUUGUCUAAAAUUGAUAGAGAUACCUUCCUUUCACAGAUCAAAAAUUUGCUGAUAUCCAAAGGGCUGCCCCAACACAUGAUCGUCCGACUAAUAAGCAGCAAUGCACAGAUUGGUCCAACUGCAGCACCCUCUACUGGCAAAACAUGAACUGGCAGCUUAAGGAGCUUCUUCAUGGCAGCUGUUGAAUGCAGUUCAGUCUUCACUGUUCUUUAACACACAUUUUUAAUAAUUACAAUCACUUCUCAAGAGCAGCUUUUAAAAGCAACAUGUUACCCUGACUCUCCAGUGCUACACAGCAAAUCCAGCAUGUCAAAAUUAACACUGUCAGAUUUGAUUUCAACACUAUUAAAUUGUCUAUAUGGGUCCACACCAGAGAGUGUUAAUUUAACUCUUUUUGGAGAGUUGGUAAGUUAACUCUGAUUUAGUGUUAAACACCAAAUCUAUCUGGAGUUGAUAAUUUAACACUUACUAAUGCUAACUAGGUGUUAAGAGUUUAUAUAUUAACUCUCAAAGAGUAUUUUAGUUUAACUACAUAAGAGUUAUCUUCUAAUUAAUUCUAAAAAGUGGAAAUUCUACUGUUCUGAACUUCUAGAAAUUCCUUUGGAAAUAAACAUUAAAAAGAUGCAAUGGUUUUUGAAAAACAUUUAUUCUGAA